This 742-nucleotide ribosomal RNA is filed under the name uncultured bacterium. RNAcentral's name for it is "bacterial SSU rRNA". It matches the Rfam family "Bacterial small subunit ribosomal RNA", at positions 8 to 796 of the family's 1533-position model. The record is from RNAcentral.
AGAGUUUGAUCAUGGCUCAGAACGAACGCUGGCGGCAGGCUUAACACAUGCAAGUCGAACGCAUCCUUCGGGGUGAGUGGCAGACGGGUGAGUAACGCGUGGGAACGUGCCCUUCAGUUCGGGAUAACCCAGGGAAACUUGGGCUAAUACCGGAUACGUGCGAGAGCAGAAAGAUUUAUCGCUGAAGGAUCGGCCCGCGUCUGAUUAGCUAGUUGGUGAGGUAAUGGCUCACCAAGGCGACGAUCAGUAGCUGGUCUGAGAGGAUGAUCAGCCACAUUGGGACUGAGACACGGCCCAAACUCCUACGGGAGGCAGCAGUGGGGAAUAUUGGACAAUGGGCGCAAGCCUGAUCCAGCCAUGCCGCGUGAGUGAUGAAGGCCUUAGGGUUGUAAAGCUCUUUCGUCCGGGACGAUAAUGACGGUACCGGAAGAAGAAGCCCCGGCUAACUUCGUGCCAGCAGCCGCGGUAAUACGAAGGGGGCUAGCGUUGUUCGGAAUCACUGGGCGUAAAGGGCGCGUAGGCGGCUUUGUAAGUCGGGGGUGAAAGCCUGUGGCUCAACCACAGAAUUGCCUUCGAUACUGCAUGGCUUGAGACCGGAAGAGGUAAGUGGAACUGCGAGUGUAGAGGUGAAAUUCGUAGAUAUUCGCAAGAACACCAGUGGCGAAGGCGGCUUACUGGUCCGGUUCUGACGCUGAGGCGCGAAAGCGUGGGGAGCAAACAGGAUUAGAUACCCUAGUAGUCC